This 264-nucleotide unclassified non-coding RNA is filed under the name Hevea brasiliensis (rubber tree). Lineage: Eukaryota; Viridiplantae; Streptophyta; Magnoliopsida; Malpighiales; Euphorbiaceae. The record is from RNAcentral.
CGAAACACUCAGGUCUCUCUUCCAACUGCUUUUGCAUUCAUCUCCAUAUCCGUCUCUUUCUAAUCUUCUCAGCCAAAGGAAGCCAAAAAAUAAGAAACCCUAAAACUCAGCACUGUAACUGUGCACGCAAAUCGGAAAGAAGAAGAAAAUACCAUUGGACUCUUUCUCUUAUUGGAUGGUAAAACCCACUUUUUCUCUUCACCCUUCUCUAUAUCCACAAUGGGAGCAAGCCGCAAGCUGCAAGGCGAGAUUGAUCGCGUUCUG